UGCUGAUUCACACUAAACCUACUGUCGAUUAAAUCUCCCAAGUCAUUUUCCUCUGCUGCCUCUUCAAGCCUCCCCCAGCUGAUCCGAAGCACAACGUCUUUAGAAUUAAGCGCAAGAAGAAACCACUUGACUACCGGGAAGUGCCAAGUGAAAAUGAAUGCCAGUAAGCAGCCGCCUUCGAUCCUGAGCGUCCAUGCGGUGUCAGUGAGGAUUCUGCAGAGCAGAGAGGCACUUUGGUGCCCAGUCAUUCCCUCAGCUAGUCUAUCCACUCCAGUGCCUGUGACCUCACCCACGUAGCAACCUCGGUUUUCUCUCACCGUCAAGGCAACUAACAAUACUGCCUGGUCCUGGAGCAGCUCGGCUUCUCCAUCAGAUGUGCUCCACAGAUCGGAAGGAUCCUGAGCGUUCAUCUUCCCUCCUACAGACUCUGCUCUGCCCAUUCGAGCUCCUCACGUCUGCGAAGCCCCUGCCAGGUGCUACCAGGGAACAGGCAGAGAAAUGAGCUCGGCUGCUGCUCACACUCUGCCCUUUGAGAGAAGCCAGCUGUGAGUCUCCAGGAAGUGAAACUUGGUUACUCCUCCCACUGACACUCACCACCCUGGCCCCAGGCCCUGGCGGGAGGCGCUGUCAGCCAGGAAGCAUGCAAACUUAGCGAGCUACCUCUCAGGACACCCACACUGCGCCAGGCAACCUGCAGUUUCUAUCACAGGAAAUCAAGAUGACAGCACUCCAACCGGGACUGCACAAUUAAUUCGAGCUCCUCUUGCGGGACCAGACCACGGUGUCUCCCUGGUGCUACUAGCCUCUGGUUUUUGAAGUUUAUGCAGAAGAGCAGCUGUGCAGGUCACGAAGCCCAUUGCAGGGAAGGUGGAACAUCGAGUCCUCGACAGUAGGAGAGAAAUCCUUGUCUUCACGGAGGUUCCCUAGCAAUCUCCCUGGGGGGUCACCCCGGAGGAGCUCCAUUCUCUCGGUAUUUCCUGACGCCACCUGCACCCCUCACCCUCCGUGCAUUCACAGUAGAGCAAAGCUCACAUGCUCCGUCAGGGCCAUGGGAAUGGGGCGUCAAGGACCAAGUUCAUGGGUUCUGUGGACUUUAUCCCAGUUCCUACAAGUUUGUUCAGUUACUUUGUUAUUGAAGUAGGGACGGGUGUCUCCCGAGAUCCUAUGAAAGAAAUGCAUGUGUUGCCCUCUCCCCUCUCUCUUCAAACUAGCUCUUCCCACUUCCUUGCUUCUCCUUGAACGUGACUCAUUUUUGC
Molossus molossus (Pallas's mastiff bat) is the source of this 1256-nucleotide long non-coding RNA. RefSeq lists it as uncharacterized. The transcript has 3 exons. Lineage: Eukaryota; Metazoa; Chordata; Mammalia; Chiroptera; Molossidae. The record is from RefSeq and is a predicted model, not a curated record.